GACGAACGCUGGCGGCGUGGAUUAGGCAUGCAAGUCGAACGGUAGGAUACCUUCGGGUAUCUGAGAGUGGCGAACGGGUGAGUAACACGUAGGUGAUCUACCCUCAAGAUUGGGACAACCCAGGGAAACUUGGGCUAAUACCGGAUGAAAGCAGCAGUGAUGUUGUUUGAAAGGUGGCGUAAGCUGCCGUUUGGGGAUGAGCCUGCGCUCUAUUAGUUAGUUGGCGGGGUAAAGGCCCACCAAGGCGAUGAUAGAUAGGCGGCCUUAACGGGUGGUCGCCCACACUGGGAUUGAGAUACGGCCCAGACUCCUACGGGAGGCAGCAGUCGAGAAUAGUCUACAAUGGCCGAAAGGCUGAUAGUGCGACGCCGCGUGAACGAAGAAGCCCUUCGGGGUGUAAGUUCUUUUAUAUGUGAGCAGUGCUUUCUAUGUGAACAGCAUGGGGAGAGAGAUAUUAGCAUAUGAAUAAGCAACGGCUAACUCCGUGCCAGCAGCC
RNAcentral lists this ribosomal RNA (496 nucleotides) under uncultured bacterium. Its description in RNAcentral is "bacterial SSU rRNA". It matches the Rfam family "Bacterial small subunit ribosomal RNA", at positions 28 to 516 of the family's 1533-position model. The record is from RNAcentral.